Molecule: long non-coding RNA, 606 nt
Organism: Myotis brandtii (Brandt's bat)
Lineage: Eukaryota; Metazoa; Chordata; Mammalia; Chiroptera; Vespertilionidae
Exons: 2
Source: RefSeq, a predicted model, not a curated record
UCCUGGUUCAUAGGUCCAUGCUCAACCCCUGAGCCACGCCGGCCGGGUUCAGCCUCCUCUGCUUAGAAACCAGAAUAACAAUGCUGGUUCAACAAGAUGGGUGUAGGGCUGUUAACAGCAUGUUCAACACCUGGAAGGCAAUAAGAGAAGUCCCCGCCCUCAUUAGAAUCUUUCUGGAACCUGUUCCCACUCACCUCCCAGGAAUCAGCUCCGUGGUCACCCUCCUCCAAGAAGCCUUCCCGGAUUCGCACCUGCCAGCUGCGGGAGCCGCCCCUCCUCUGGCGCUGACUCACCGGGACUCACGUCUGUCAUCACCCUUAUCACAGGUGUUCCUGGAAAAUCAGGAGCUGCGGCACCAGCCGCCACCCCCACCCACAGCUGCCAGAGCGCCACCUCCAGGCAGGCAGGCAGGCACCCGGCUGCAGGCCCCGCCCAGCGUGGCAGCUCACACCCUCCGUCCCUCGAAUAGGCUGACCUACAAGCCUAUCUGCUCCAUCGGUCAUCACAGCCCCCCCAGCUGCAGCGCACACAAACCUGAGGAGAGGGCGGGUCUCGGGCAUCCCCCCUUUCUGACAAUAAAUGCUCAAUAAAUAUUAACCGUCCUGG